UGGGGAAUAUUGCACAAUGGGCGCAAGCUUGAUGCAGCCAUGCCGCGUGUGUGAAGAAGGCCUUCGGGUUGUAAAGCACUUUCAGCGGGGAGGAAGGCGAUAAGGUUAAUAACCUUGUCGAUUGACGUUACCCGCAGAAGAAGCACCGGCUAACUCCGUGCCAGCAGCCGCGGUAAUACGGAGGGUGCAAGCGUUAAUCGGAAUUACUGGGCGUAAAGCGCACGCAGGCGGUCUGUCAAGUCGGAUGUGAAAUCCCCGGGCUCAACCUGGGAACUGCAUUCGAAACUGGCAGGCUAGAGUCUUGUAGAGGGGGGUAGAAUUCCAGGUGGAGCGGUGAAAUGCGUAGAGAUCUGGAGGAAUACCGGUGGCGAAGGCGGCCCCCUGGACAAAGACUGACGCUCAGGUGCGAAAGCGUGGGGAGCAAACAGG
RNAcentral lists this ribosomal RNA (429 nucleotides) under Chloroflexota bacterium. Its description in RNAcentral is "Chloroflexi bacterium partial 16S ribosomal RNA". It matches the Rfam family "Bacterial small subunit ribosomal RNA", at positions 355 to 776 of the family's 1533-position model. Lineage: Bacteria; Bacillati; Chloroflexota. The record is from RNAcentral.